RNAcentral lists this ribosomal RNA (508 nucleotides) under uncultured Glomus. RNAcentral's name for it is "SSU rRNA". It matches the Rfam family "Eukaryotic small subunit ribosomal RNA", at positions 569 to 1078 of the family's 1831-position model. The record is from RNAcentral. Lineage: Eukaryota; Fungi; Glomeromycota; Glomeromycetes; Glomerales; Glomeraceae.
AGCAGCCGCGGUAAUUCCAGCUCCAAUAGCGUAUAUUAAAGUUGUUGCAGUUAAAAAGCUCGUAGUUGAAUUUCGGGAUCAGACUGUGCGGUCGUGCCUCGGUACGCACUGGCAUUAUUGGUUCCUACCUUCUGAAGAACCGCGAUGUCAUUAAUUUGGUGUCGCGGGGAAUCAGGACUGUUACUUUGAAAAAAUUAGAGUGUUUAAAGCAGGCUUACGCUUGAAUACAUUAGCAUGGAAUAAUGAAAUAGGACGUUUGAUUCUAUUUUGUUGGUUUCUAGGAUCGACGUAAUGAUUAAUAGGGAUAGUUGGGGGCAUUAGUAUUCAAUUGUCAGAGGUGAAAUUCUUGGAUUUAUUGAAGACUAACUACUGCGAAAGCAUUUGCCAAGGAUGUUUUCAUUAAUCAAGAACGAAAGUUAGGGGAUCGAAGACGAUCAGAUACCGUCGUAGUCUUAACCAUAAACUAUGCCGACUAGGGAUCGGAUGAUGUUAAUUUUUUAAUGACUCA